AUCUGGGAAUCCCUUCAGGGAUCCUCCGGAGCAGAAUCCGGGAAUCACAGAAUCCCUUUGGGGAUCCUCCGGGGCAGGAAUCUGGGAAUCCCUUUGGGGAUCCUCCAGAGCAUUGGGAAUCUGGGAAUCAUGGGAUCCCUUUGGGAAUCCUAUGGAGCACUGGGAAUCUGAGAAUCCCUUCAGGGAUCCUCCAGAGUGCCAGGAAUCCAGGAAUCACAGAAUCCCUCCAUGGAUCCUCAAUCUGGGAAUCACGGAAUCCCUUUGGGGAUCCUCUGGAGCCCCGGGAAUCCAGGAACCAUGGAAUCCCUUCGGGGAUCCUCAGUCCAGGAAUCCAGGAAUCCCUUUGGGGAUCCUCCGGAGCACCGGGAAUCCGGGAAUCACGGAAUCCCUUCGGGGAUCCUAUGGAGCACCAGGAAUCUGAGAAUCCCUUCAGGGAUCCUCCGGAGAGCCUCAAUCCGGGAAUCAUGGGAUCCCUUUGGAGAUCCUCCGGAGCAGAAUCCGGGAACCACGGGAUCCCUUUGGGGAUCCUCAAUCUGGGAAUCAUGGAAACCCUUCAGGGAUCCUCCGGAGCAUCAGGAAUCCGGGAAUCAUGGAAUCCCUUCGGGGGAUCCUCAAUCCGGGAAUCCCAGGGGAUCCCUCUGGGGAUCCUCCAGAGCACCAGAAAUCCGGGAAUCCCGGGGGAUCGCUUUGGGAACGGUUUUUCCCGCAGGCAGCUGGCGCAGAGCAGCGCCGAGCGGUUCCGGCAGGUUUGGAUCGUCAACGAGGAGGAGGCCAAGGCGCUGAUCCGGCAAGCGCUGGACGCCGAUCGGAUCAUCCACGUCCAGCAGCUGGGAAUUCCCUGGGAAGAGCCGCGGCUGGGACUCCUGGAGAACGUGGGACCCCUGGGAGGCCGCCGGGAAAAGCGGGACGCCCUGCAGGUGGCCACGGAACUGCUGGAAGGGAUCAAAUCCGGGAAAAGGGAGCGGGAAGGGAGGAGGAGCAGGAAGAAAGGCGGAGAGGGGAGGAAGGAAAAGCAGGAAAACUCGGAGCCAAGAGUCACCAGCCAGCCCAACAUUCCCAGGAAAACCCUCCGGAAAAUGCUGGAGCUCCUGAGCGAGGAGUCGGUGAGCUCGGGAUCCGGGAGCCAGCCCCAUCCGGGGUUUGUUUUUUUUUUCGGGAAUCCCUUUGGAAUCAGGGCUGGGAAUGCUCAGUGCGGCUCUUCCCGGCUUUUUUUUUUUUUUUUUUUUUUUUUUCCCUCCCAAGGAAUUCCUG
RNAcentral lists this long non-coding RNA (1251 nucleotides) under Cyanistes caeruleus (blue tit). RNAcentral's name for it is "lncRNA (ENSCCEG00000000663.1)". Lineage: Eukaryota; Metazoa; Chordata; Aves; Passeriformes; Paridae. The record is from RNAcentral.